Long non-coding RNA from Falco peregrinus (peregrine falcon), 2115 nucleotides. RefSeq lists it as uncharacterized. The transcript is spliced from 2 exons. The record is from RefSeq and is a predicted model, not a curated record. Lineage: Eukaryota; Metazoa; Chordata; Aves; Falconiformes; Falconidae.
AAUCACACUGAUUGCUUGAUAUUGCUUCCUGUUCAAACACAGUCUUCAUCCAUCCCUGGGCCUACGUGUUACCCUCUCCCUAUAGCACACUAAUGGAGAUGAGGAGUGAGGCUGAUGGGUGGUAAUACAAUGUACAUAAUGACGUAUUCAGGAGAGGAGAAAGAGAUGCAAGUUAAGCUACAAAGAAAAAAUAGAAGAACCAGGAAAAAUAUCAACAGACAUAUUGUGACUCCGGGGUUUCUGCAUUUCUGACUGUUGCCUUAAUGCUAAGGCAGAGAGGACACAUCGACACUGGAAGCUAGUUUGUGCAACUUGUUCAAGGUAUUACCUCUGCCGCCCAGCUAGCAGAGGCUGCAUGAGCGUUCCUAUGCAGCGCUGGCAUCUGCCCUCCUGCCUAUGCCUUGUCUUCACAACCCUGAGCACAUCUGGAAGUUAGCACCCCACCAGAUACAUCAGGACAGGCUCAGCACUGAUGGUUACUGAUAGCUAACAGUGUGCCUGCAUAACAGCCCUGUGGAGGAGAAGCAGAGCACCCUGUGCAACUGGCAGAACAGUAUGAACAGAGUCAGCAGGUUGCUUAGAUUUUAAACAUGUUUAUUCUACAGGAUGAGACACGUACCAGCAGAAGUCAAACCAUUCCUGAUUCCUUGGAGCCAAAUCUGAAGUUGAACUCUCCUCAGGAAGAAUUCAUACUCAUGUACAAAGUCCUGCCUCUUCUUGUAUUUCCAUGGUUCCUGGAAAUGAGUUCAUAAUCCAUAUUUAGUAUCUGGGAUGUGGGAAAAGGUUGUAGGCAUAUGGUUUCUAUUUCACUAGCACCAGAGACAGGGUCUUCUCCGUGAAGUGAAGAAAGAACCAGCUGCUGUACUUCAGACUGUAUGUUAACCUCACCUAACUUUUAGCUGCUGAGGGUUGGGGAAGAUGAAUUCCAACCACUGUGGCUGAGAACAUACCAUCUUAUGCCAACAACCAAGCAGGGAUCCAUCUUAUGACUUGCUGAUGUAAGAACGGAGCAGAGUCUGUGCCACAUGUGAAGCUGAUUCCAGGGUCCUUGGUUUACACCUCGUGCAGAGCUUUCUAUAAAAUACAUGUCUCCUUAUCACUGAGUGAAAAGUGAGUUUUGUUUCACAGAAUCAUUUCAUCAGUGUUUUUCUAGUGACAUAACAGGGAAAAGCUUUAAAAUUAAAGUUCUUAUUAAAAACAUAACAUUGAAAAAACUUCUAGUCAAAAUCCCAGAUCCUCAGAGUCACUUCUCAUUACCAUCUCAGUCAAAAUAGACACUGGUUCAAAGUUCAGAAAUUCAUUGUGACUGGAAUUCACUUGGCAAGUCAAGACUUGUCUCCAACAUUUUUCAGAGGUUUGAAAGAUUUUAUUCCAACAGAUAUUUUCCUCCAUUGCCCAUUAUUUGAAGGUACCCAAACUAGCAAUAUUUUUAAAAUGUCUGUUUUCAGCAGUAGGUGGCACUAUGAAGUUUCUAUCUUCAUAAUUAUUCUAAUAUAAAAUAAUGUAAAAUGUUAUGCAGAUACAUUGGAACGUCAUCAAAAUGUUAAUAGUCCAUUAUCUGAAAACAUGGCCAGAUCUUUCAGUUUUCCUAUAAUUUUAAAAAGAGCAUGAAAAUAUUUUAGCAUAAAUUCCAAUAAUAAAAUGAAUGUUUCUCUAAACAUUACAAUUGACAAAAAGUUUAAUGUGAGAACAGGAAUAAUGAGAUGUCUAAUAUAAAAAUAGCAAACCAAUAAAAUUUAAAAUUGCAGGUGACAUAAGAAGCUCUCUAUACUCUUUGUUACUCUUACAUAAAGUACCAUCGUGGGCUGUUCUUGAAUAUACUACUUCAGCUACUUAAAAUUCCCUGGAAAUUAUAUCUAUCUCAUUUGCAUAUAAACUGUAAUAUUACAACAGUGGGUGUUAAUGUAUGUAUACUCUUUAUGUAAAUUUGACAAGGUAAAUGACGUAUACUAACAGGGAUACAGCAAAUAGAAAAGCAUUUAGAUUUUUCUGUGCUUGGCCAAAAAUUUGUAUUUACAAGCGGAGACCAAAGCACUACAUGUGGGCCUAUAUUCCUCUAUGUAUACUAUAUGGAGAUGUUAACUAUAUCCCAAAUAAACUCCAGGAUUAGAAAGA